RNAcentral lists this ribosomal RNA (497 nucleotides) under uncultured bacterium. RNAcentral's name for it is "partial 16S ribosomal RNA". It matches the Rfam family "Bacterial small subunit ribosomal RNA", at positions 28 to 507 of the family's 1533-position model. The record is from RNAcentral.
GAUGAACGCUGGCGGCGUGCCUAAUACAUGCAAGUCGAGCGAACGGACGAGAAGCUUGCUCCUCUGAUGUUAGCGGCGGACGGGUGAGUAACACGUGGAUAACCUACCUAUAAGACUGGGAUAACUUCGGGAAACCGGAGCUAAUACCGGAUAAUAUUUUGAACCGCAUGGUUCAAAAGUGAAAGACAGUCUUGCUGUCACUUAUAGAUGGAUCCGCGCUGCAUUAGCUAGUUGGUAAGGUAACGGCUUACCAAGGCAACGAUGCAUAGCCGACCUGAGAGGGUGAUCGGCCACACUGGAACUGAGACACGGUCCAGACUCCUACGGGAGGCAGCAGUAGGGAAUCUUCCGCAAUGGGCGAAAGCCUGACGGAGCAACGCCGCGUGAGUGAUGAAGGUCUUCGGAUCGUAAAACUCUGUUAUUAGGGAAGAACAUAUGUGUAAGUAACUGUGCACGUCUUGACGGUACCUAAUCAGAAAGCCACGGCUAACUACGUG